GGGGCUAUAGCCAAAUGGUAAGGCAAAGGACUUUGACUCCUUUAGUGUAGGUUCGAUUCCUACUAGCUCUGCUA
This 74-nucleotide transfer RNA is filed under the name Caudoviricetes sp. Its description in RNAcentral is "tRNA-Gln". It matches the Rfam family "tRNA". From Rfam's summary of the family: Transfer RNA (tRNA) molecules are approximately 80 nucleotides in length. Lineage: Duplodnaviria; Heunggongvirae; Uroviricota; Caudoviricetes. The record is from RNAcentral.